Molecule: ribosomal RNA, 430 nt
Filed under: uncultured Rhodobacterales bacterium
Lineage: Bacteria; Pseudomonadati; Pseudomonadota; Alphaproteobacteria; Rhodobacterales
Description: bacterial SSU rRNA
Rfam family: Bacterial small subunit ribosomal RNA
Source: RNAcentral
AACGAACGCUGGCGGCAGGCCUAACACAUGCAAGUCGAGCGCCCCUUCGGGGGAGCGGCGGACGGGUUAGUAACGCGUGGGAACGUGCCCAGAUCUACGGAAUAGCCUUUGGAAACGAAGAGUAAUACCGUAUACGCCCUUCGGGGGAAAGAUUUAUCGGAUUUGGAUCGGCCCGCGUUAGAUUAGUUAGUUGGUGGGGUAACGGCCUACCAAGACGACGAUCUAUAGCUGGUUUGAGAGGGUGAUCAGCAACACUGGGACUGAGACACGGCCCAGACUCCUACGGGAGGCAGCAGUGGGGAAUCUUAGACAAUGGGCGCAAGCCUGAUCUAGCCAUGCCGCGUGAGUGACGAAGGCCUUAGGGUCGUAAAGCUCUUUCGCCAGGGAUGAUAAUGACAGUACCUGGUAAAGAAACCCCGGCUAACUCCGU